This 1050-nucleotide ribosomal RNA is filed under the name Triticum aestivum (bread wheat). Its description in RNAcentral is "partial small subunit ribosomal RNA". Lineage: Eukaryota; Viridiplantae; Streptophyta; Magnoliopsida; Poales; Poaceae. The record is from RNAcentral.
AUGGGUGAGGAGGAGAAGAAGCCCAAGGAGGAGGAGAAGCCCAAGGAGGAGGAGAAGCCCAAGGAGGGGGAGGAGGAGAAGCCCAAGGACGACAAGCCCAAGGAGGGGGAGGGCGAGGGGGAGAAGCCCAAGGAGGAGGAGGCGGCGCCCCCGCCGCCGCCGCCGCCGCCGGAGGAGGUCGUGAUGCGCGUCUACAUGCACUGCGAGGGCUGCGCCAGGAAGGUCAAGAAGAUCCUCAAGAGAUUCGAUGGGGUAGAGGACGUCAUUGCUGACUCCAAGGCACACAAGGUGGUUGUGAAGGGAAAGAAGGCUGCCGCCGACCCGAUGAAGGUGGUGGAGCGUGUUCAGAAGAAGACGGGCCGCAAGGUGGAGCUCCUCUCGCCGUUACCGCCGCCGCCGGAGGAGAAGCAGGAAGAGGAGAAGAAGGAGGAACCUGAGCCGCCGAAACCUGAAGAGAAGAAGGAGCCAACGGUGAUCUCCGUGGUGCUGAAGGUGCACAUGCACUGCGAGGCCUGCGCGCAGGCGAUAAAGAAGAGGAUCGAAAAGAUGAAAGGAGUGCAAUCUGCAGACCCAGACCUGAAGGCGUCUGAAGUGACGGUGAAGGGCGUGUUUGAGGAGGUCAAGCUGGCUGAGUACGUGCACAAGCGCACCGGCAGGCAUGCGGCCAUUAUCAAGUCCGAGCCGGUUGCCCCGGCCGAGAAGGCCGGCGAAGGCGACGCCAAGGAUGAGAAGAAGGCAGCCGAAGGCGGCGAAGAGAAGAAGGACGACAAGGAGGAGAAGAAGGACGACAAGGAUGGCGCUGCAGACGAGAAGAAAGAGGAGAAAGACAAGGAGGAUGGCGGCGCCGGCGGCGAGGAGAAGGAGAAGGAGAAAGACCCCGGCGCCAUCGCCGCAGCCAACCUCUACAUGCACUACCCGCAGUUCGCGUUCCCGGGAGGGUACUACCCGCCGAGGCCGGGGUACGCCGCCUACCCUCCGCCGCCGGCCUACCCGCCGUACCCGCCGCAGAUCUUCAGCGACGAGAACCCGAACGCCUGCUCCGUCAUGUAA